GAUGAAGAACGUAGCGAAAUGCGAUAAGUAAUGUGAAUUGCAGAAUUCAGUGAAUCAUCGAAUCUUUGAACGCACCUUGCGCUCUUUGGUAUUCCGAAGAGCAUGCUUGUUUGAGUGUCAUGAAAAUAUCAACCUUGACUUGGGUUUUGUGCUCUAGUCUCGGCUUGGAAUUGGGUGCUUGCCGCUUUUACGAGCGGCUCACCUUAAAUGUAUUAGCUGGAUCUGUCUUUGAGACUUGGUUUGACUUGGCGUAAUAAGUAUUUCGCUAAGGACAUUCUUCGGAGUGGCCUCGUUUCUAGGACGCUUGUCCGCUUUCCAAUACAAGUUCCACCUCGUGGACAUGACUUUUUAUUAUCUGGCCUCAAAUCAGGUAGGACUACCCGCUGAACUUAAGCAUAUCAAUAACGGAGGA
RNAcentral lists this unclassified non-coding RNA (412 nucleotides) under soil metagenome. Its description in RNAcentral is "partial contains 5.8S ribosomal RNA, internal transcribed spacer 2, and large subunit ribosomal RNA". The stretch from base 1 to 120 matches the Rfam family "5.8S ribosomal RNA", at positions 35 to 154 of the family's 154-position model. The record is from RNAcentral.